GCCCGGGUGAUGGAAUGGCGAGACAUGGGGGCCUUAAAAGCCCCUGCCCCGCUGGGGCGUGUGGGUUCGAGUCCCACCCCGGGCA
RNAcentral lists this transfer RNA (85 nucleotides) under Thermoleophilaceae bacterium. RNAcentral's name for it is "tRNA-Leu". It matches the Rfam family "tRNA". Rfam says of the family: Transfer RNA (tRNA) molecules are approximately 80 nucleotides in length. Their secondary structure includes four short double-helical elements and three loops (D, anti-codon, and T loops). The record is from RNAcentral. Lineage: Bacteria; Bacillati; Actinomycetota; Thermoleophilia; Thermoleophilales; Thermoleophilaceae.